UACGUAGGGGGCAAGCGUUGUCCGGAAUCAUUGGGCGUAAAGCGCGCGUAGGCGGCCCGGUAGGUCCGCUGUAAAAGUCCAGGGCUCAACCCUGGAAAGCCGGUGGAUACUGUCGGGCUAGAGUCCGGAAGAGGCGAGUGGAAUUCCUGGUGUAGCGGUGGAAUGCGCAGAUAUCAGGAGGAACACCGAUGGCGAAGGCAGCUCGCUGGGACGGUACUGACGCUGAGGAGCGAAAGCGUGGGGAGCGAACAGG
RNAcentral lists this ribosomal RNA (253 nucleotides) under uncultured bacterium. Its description in RNAcentral is "partial 16S ribosomal RNA". It matches the Rfam family "Bacterial small subunit ribosomal RNA", at positions 524 to 776 of the family's 1533-position model. The record is from RNAcentral.